Molecule: long non-coding RNA, 455 nt
Filed under: Pollicipes pollicipes
Lineage: Eukaryota; Metazoa; Arthropoda; Thecostraca; Pollicipedomorpha; Pollicipedidae
Description: uncharacterized LOC119108733
Source: RNAcentral
CGCGGUGUGCGGCCUCUCGGACGAGAAGACUGGGCUUACGUUGGAUACAAGUUAUUGUCGUCCGGCAAGGUUUUAAAAAGUGAUGUUAUAGCUACUGGACAUUGAAGCGAUUGAAGACCAGAAAGCCUUAGUGCGACCGGCUUGAUUCAGAUUACUCCCCGAGAGCGACACUCGUUAAGGAUGCGAGUAUUUGAAGUUCCGCUUUCAAGCAUUGGACGGCCUGCAAAUUACCAUUGGAGCCGAACUGCAUGCAUUUUCUAGAUGAUCUUAAAUACGGAGCGGUAUUCUAAAGAUGUAGUUGUGCAGUGUGUAGUUCGUAGAUUACGAAACAACGGAGCGAGAAUACAGUUGGCGUUCCGUUUUGGGUCAGUUAUGUUGUUUUCCUUUUUCCAUGUUUUAAAGUCGCUGUGCUUUAUGCUCAGGAUCGAAGCAAAAUGUACAGGAGUGGGCUGCGA